UACACCUGAACUGUAUUUAUUUUUCAGAUGUUGCAAAUGAUGCUAAGGGUCAACAUAACAGACAAGGAUAAAAUUUCUAGAAUACUUCUCAUGGAAAAGUGAAUGACUAAAAUCUCUCGAAAAAUGCCUUAUUCCAAUUGUUUUCUUCAGAUGGCAGAAGAAUCAGCCAAUCAGGAAUCAUAUAUUUCAAAAUUAUAAAUAAUAAAUAUACUGAUACUGAUGUUAAUUCACUUAUACACUUUUAAAUCUGUGCUACAAAAUUAAUGCAUGAUAAUAAAUACUGAGACAUAUUUUAUGAAAUAA
Long non-coding RNA from Parasteatoda tepidariorum (common house spider), 303 nucleotides. The record is from RefSeq and is a predicted model, not a curated record. NCBI's taxonomy places the organism in Eukaryota, Metazoa, Arthropoda, Arachnida, Araneae, Theridiidae.